UCCUCACCCUCCUCAUCGUCCGCCGCCUCGUCCUCAUCGCCGGGCUCCCGGAAGAUGGUGGUGUCAGCAGAGAUGUGCUGCUUUUGCUUCGAUGUGCUCUACUGUCACCUGUAUGGAUACCAGCAGCCCCGGACCCCCCGAUUCACCAACGAGCCCUAAUUGACCAGAAUAGCCAGAAGAUGUAUCUGUCUAUCGCAGAUGAUGCCAUGAGGCCAUGACAGAUUUCCUUAUCCACACUAACAUAACGAUAAUCCACAUUGUUACCCAAAGCCACAUGCAGUGCCGGGAGAGCACAGUUGACUGUUUUAUGCAGUAUCCUGCCAGAAGAUGCUGACCAGUUCUCUAGUAAUAGAAAGUAGUGAGAUUGAAUUAAGAGCCUAUAUAGUUCACCUUGCCAUUCGAUAUACUUUCACUGUGAUCUGUAAGCAUAUUACAUACAACUUUAGUAACAUAUUUUCUAGUGAGAUCUUGGAUUGCUGCAAGGUGGUAACAGAUUCUCUGCUUUGCUUCAGGUGUUAGUGGAUCUUUGAGUAAUUCCUAUGGAAUGGAGUCUCUGAAAAAUUGGUUUUGAUGCUGUUAGCCUAGGGGUCCCACAGCACUGUAUCUGCCUCAAAUAAAUGCUUAUGUACUAGUUA
Molecule: long non-coding RNA, 635 nt
Filed under: Homo sapiens (human)
Lineage: Eukaryota; Metazoa; Chordata; Mammalia; Primates; Hominidae
Description: HSALNT0285338
Source: RNAcentral